Molecule: non-coding RNA, 26 nt
Filed under: Cricetulus griseus (Chinese hamster)
Lineage: Eukaryota; Metazoa; Chordata; Mammalia; Rodentia; Cricetidae
Source: RNAcentral
ACCUAGUGCGGCAAAUUAACAGAAAA